AUGAACGCUAGCGGCAGGCUUAACACAUGCAAGUCGAGGGGCAGCACGGGUAGCAAUAUCUGGUGGCGACCGGCGCAAGGGUGCGUAACGCGUGAGCAACAUGCCCGUAUCAGGGGGAUAAUCCAGGGAAACUUGGUCUAAUACCCCAUAGCAAUUAAAGGAGGCAUCUUUUUAAUUUAAAGCUUUGGUGGAUACGGAUUGGCUCGCGUGACAUUAGCUAGAUGGUAAGGUAACGGCUUACCAUGGCUACGAUGUCUAGGGGUUCUGAGAGGAAGAUCCCCCACACUGGAACUGAGACACGGUCCAGACUCCUACGGGAGGCAGCAGUGAGGAAUAUUGGACAAUGGAUGGAAAUCUGAUCCAGCCAUGCCGCGUGCAGGAAGACGGCCCUAUGGGUUGUAAACUGCUUUUGUAUGGGAGCAAUAGGGUCUAUGCGUAGACUGAUGAGAGUACCAUACGAAUAAGCAUCGGCUAACUCCGUG
This 482-nucleotide ribosomal RNA is filed under the name uncultured bacterium. Its description in RNAcentral is "bacterial SSU rRNA". It matches the Rfam family "Bacterial small subunit ribosomal RNA", at positions 29 to 507 of the family's 1533-position model. The record is from RNAcentral.